Molecule: ribosomal RNA, 207 nt
Filed under: uncultured bacterium
Lineage: Bacteria
Description: partial 16S ribosomal RNA
Rfam family: Bacterial small subunit ribosomal RNA
Source: RNAcentral
CACGUAGGCGGCAAGUUAAGUCAAAGGUGAAAGCCCUCGGCUCAACCGAGGAACUGCCUUUGAAACUGGUUUGCUUGAGUCCGGGAGGGGGGAGCGGAAUUCCCAGUGUAGCGGUGAAAUGCGUAGAUACUGGGAGGAACACCGGUGGCGAAGGCGGCUCCCUGGACCGGUACUGACGCUGAGGUGCGAAAGCGUGGGUAGCAAACA